This 72-nucleotide transfer RNA is filed under the name Marmota marmota marmota (Alpine marmot). It matches the Rfam family "tRNA". Rfam says of the family: Transfer RNA (tRNA) molecules are approximately 80 nucleotides in length. Their secondary structure includes four short double-helical elements and three loops (D, anti-codon, and T loops). Further hydrogen bonds mediate the characteristic L-shaped molecular structure. tRNAs have two regions of fundamental functional importance: the anti-codon, which is responsible for specific mRNA codon recognition, and the 3' end, to which the tRNAs corresponding amino acid is attached (by aminoacyl-tRNA synthetases). tRNAs cope with the degeneracy of the genetic code in two manners: having more than one tRNA (with a specific anti-codon) for a particular amino acid; and 'wobble' base-pairing, i.e. permitting non-standard base-pairing at the 3rd anti-codon position. Lineage: Eukaryota; Metazoa; Chordata; Mammalia; Rodentia; Sciuridae. The record is from Rfam by way of RNAcentral. RNAcentral also lists the same sequence under 1 other name.
UGGGUUGUAGCUCCGUGGUAGAGUGUUCAUCUCACAUGUGGAAGGCACUGGGUUGGAUUCUCAGCACCACAC